RNAcentral lists this non-coding RNA (98 nucleotides) under uncultured Tubulinea. Lineage: Eukaryota; Tubulinea. The record is from RNAcentral.
AAAUGCGUAAUUAAAGAGAGGAAAAAGAAGGAAAAGGAGAAAACACUCAACACAACAAAAAAAAAAGUUUCUGGCUUUUUUUUUCAUUUUUUUUUUUU